Molecule: transfer RNA, 73 nt
Filed under: Danio rerio (zebrafish)
Lineage: Eukaryota; Metazoa; Chordata; Actinopteri; Cypriniformes; Danionidae
Also listed under: 1 other name
Description: tRNA-Arg (TCT) (tRNA-Arg-TCT-32 1 to 5)
Rfam family: tRNA
About the family: Transfer RNA (tRNA) molecules are approximately 80 nucleotides in length. Their secondary structure includes four short double-helical elements and three loops (D, anti-codon, and T loops).
Source: RNAcentral
GGCUCUGUGGCGCAAUGGAUAGCGCAUUGGACUUCUAAUUCAAAGGUUGUGGGUUCGAGUCCCUCCAGAGUCG